RNAcentral lists this ribosomal RNA (587 nucleotides) under uncultured bacterium. RNAcentral's name for it is "partial 16S ribosomal RNA". It matches the Rfam family "Bacterial small subunit ribosomal RNA", at positions 355 to 1375 of the family's 1533-position model. The record is from RNAcentral.
UGGGGAAUUUUGGACAAUGGGCGCAAGCCUGAUCCAGCCAUGCCGCGUGCGGGAAGAAGGCCUUCGGGUUGUAAACCGCUUUUGUCAGGGAAGAAAUCUUCUGAGUUAAUACCUCGGGAGGAUGACGGUACCUGAAGAAUAAGCACCGGCUAACUACGUGCCAGCAGCCGCGGUAAUACGUAGGGUGCAAGCGUUAAUCGGAAUUACUGGGCGUAAAGCGUGCGCAGGCGGUUUUGUAAGACAGAGGUGAAAUCCCCGGGCUCAACCUGGGAACUGCCUUUGUGACUGCAAGGCUUGAGUGCGGCAGAGGGGGGAUGGAAUUCCGCGUGUAGCAGUGAAAUGCGUAGAUAUGCGGAGGAACACCGAUGGCGAAGGCAAUCCCCUGGGCCUGCACUGACGCUCAUGCACGAAAGCGUGGGGAGCAAACAGGAUUAGAUACCCUGGUAGUCCACGCCCUAAACGAUGUCAACUGGUUGUUGGGAAGGUUCCUUCUCAGUAACGUAGCUAACGCGUGAAGUUGACCGCCUGGGGAGUACGGCCGCAAGGUUGAAAACUCAAAGGAAUUGACGGGGUCAUAGCUGUUUCCU